GCGGGCGUCCGCCAACGGUCUCCGACGAGGCUGAGCGGUCUCCAAAACCGCAGGUCGGGGGUUCGAGUCCCUCCGCCCCUGCCA
This 84-nucleotide transfer RNA is filed under the name Chloroflexota bacterium. Its description in RNAcentral is "Chloroflexi bacterium tRNA-Trp". It matches the Rfam family "tRNA". Rfam says of the family: Transfer RNA (tRNA) molecules are approximately 80 nucleotides in length. Lineage: Bacteria; Bacillati; Chloroflexota. The record is from RNAcentral.